This 253-nucleotide ribosomal RNA is filed under the name uncultured bacterium. Its description in RNAcentral is "partial 16S ribosomal RNA". It matches the Rfam family "Bacterial small subunit ribosomal RNA", at positions 524 to 776 of the family's 1533-position model. The record is from RNAcentral.
UACGUAGGGAGCAAGCGUUGUCCGGAAUCAUUGGGCGUAAAGCGCGCGUAGGUGGCUUCGUAAGUCCGUUGUGAAAGUCAAAGGCUCAACCUUUGAAAGCCGAUGGAUACUGUGAAGCUAGAGUACGGAAGAGGCGAGUGGAAUUCCUGGUGUAGCGGUGGAAUGCGCAGAUAUCAGGAGGAACACCAAUAGCGAAGGCAGCUCGCUGGGACGCUACUGACACUGAGGCGCGAAAGCGUGGGGAGCGAACAGG